This 206-nucleotide long non-coding RNA is filed under the name Lathyrus oleraceus (garden pea). RNAcentral's name for it is "Pisum sativum (pea) long non-coding RNA (PSAT_LNC040265)". Lineage: Eukaryota; Viridiplantae; Streptophyta; Magnoliopsida; Fabales; Fabaceae. The record is from RNAcentral.
UAGGUUAUUUCCCCCAAAUGCUAUAACUAUCUAAGAACUCACAUCAAAAUUGAUGAAGAUGGUGAGAUGAAAUGAUGGAGAAGAUGACAUGAUAAUGGUGGAGGUUUCCAUGGCUUCCUUCUUCUUUCUCUUUUCGUCUUCCUUUCUCCCUUCUUCUCUUUUCCUCUUUCUCUUCUUUCUUUCCUUCUCUUUCUUUUCGUUUUCCU